AACGAACGCUGGCGGCAGGCUUAACACAUGCAAGUCGAACGCCCCGCAAGGGGAGUGGCAGACGGGUGAGUAACACGUGGGAACGUACCCUUCGGUUCGGAAUAACACAGAGAAAUUUGUGCUAAUACCGGAUACGUCCGAGAGGAGAAAGAUUUAUCGCCGAAGGAUCGGCCCGCGUCUGAUUAGCUAGUUGGUGAGGUAAUGGCUCACCAAGGCGACGAUCAGUAGCUGGUCUGAGAGGAUGAUCAGCCACACUGGGACUGAGACACGGCCCAGACUCCUACGGGAGGCAGCAGUGGGGAAUAUUGGACAAUGGGCGAAAGCCUGAUCCAGCCAUGCCGCGUGAGUGAUGAAGGCCCUAGGGUUGUAAAGCUCUUUUACCUGGGAAGAUAAUGACUGUACCAGGAGAAUAAGCCCCGGCUAACUUCGUG
This 431-nucleotide ribosomal RNA is filed under the name uncultured organism. RNAcentral's name for it is "bacterial SSU rRNA". It matches the Rfam family "Bacterial small subunit ribosomal RNA", at positions 29 to 507 of the family's 1533-position model. The record is from RNAcentral.